Molecule: long non-coding RNA, 1686 nt
Filed under: Coturnix japonica (Japanese quail)
Lineage: Eukaryota; Metazoa; Chordata; Aves; Galliformes; Phasianidae
Description: lncRNA (ENSCJPG00005010248.1)
Source: RNAcentral
GCAGAGCUCAAUGUCUGCAGCCUGGGGCAGCACAGAGCUGCUGCAUGGGGCACAGGCAGGGUGAGCUGGGAGAGGGAUUUCCCCCUGCUUCAGCAGUCAGUCCUCAAUGCUCCAACUGAAAGUUGUCCUGGGGUUCAACACCACACACAUCUCUGUGCAGCCCUCCCUGCGAGCGUGGAUCUGCCUCAGAGCAGCGUGGAGAGCAACAUCCACAGAGACAAGUCCCUGCACAGGACAAAUCUCUAUCCCUGCCACUCUGGCUAUUAAUCUUGUAGAAGGAGAGACAAGGAGCAGAGCUGAGUGCUUCCUUCUCCUUAGCCCUACACGGCAGCACAGUGCUCCUGUCCUGACUGCAGACACUCUUGAAGAGGCAGCAGAGCCCCGCAGACGUCUCCUCUAAAGCAGAACUAAGGAGAAAUGAAAAGAAUGGAUUUAACAGAAAGAAAUUGUCUCUGAGUAUAAUGUUUUUCCUUGUUUCCCAUGAAAAAGUGAGAUUUCUUUACGGACAAAUAGUCAAGAACAGAGUCCAUUACACUACACAGUUUUUGCCUUGAAACAUAAAUAGCUGCAUAUCAUAUAAGUGUUUGUUAUGAGGAAAUGUGUAUGCGAGAGAAAGUUAGACAUUAGCCCAUUAUUUCAUGUGGAAAGCUAUUGCUAAAGGGAGAGGAUUACUUACCAUAUUUAUUUGGUUCUUCAACUUCUCAUCCAUCUCUCUGCACAUAGAAACUUCAGCUGCAAAAUGUGGUGUUGGAUACCCCUGGUUCCAUGCCAUCCCCACCCCAGGCCCAGUGUGUGGGCACUGGCUGUGGAAUUCCAAGUCCCAGCAGGCAGCAGCAGCAUCUCAAUGUUUGCUAUAGCUGUGCUGAGUUCCAGUGUCUGGGGAAAAGCCUUCUGCUCCAGCAGCUCUAUCCCUACCCUAAAUGCACAAGAGAACUGCUCAGAUCUAUGUGCCCAUUAGUCUUCGUGUUGCACUUAAACCUUCCAAAAUAUCCCUGGUGAUGGUACAGAGCUGCAAUGAAGUGAUCAUCAAAGUAUUUCUUCUGAGUUCAAGUCUUCUACCUGAUGGUGGCAGAAAGCACUGUGCCAAACAGGGGGACUGAGAGCAUCGCUUUGCUUUGGUGAGCCCAGGGGUCGCACCUUUUGGCACUGGGCACAGUGGUGCUGUUGUGCCAGGUCGGGGGGCAGGGAUAUGGGCUGAAAGGAGCAGUUCUGUUGUGCUGGCAGCUAGAGUAGGUCAUCACGGAUCUGCAACUUGGACAUCAAAAUGAUCCUUGAGUUGCUCUCUUCCUGGGCUUGGUGUUAGAGAGCAGCUCUUUGUUCCAGCAUGUGAAAGCCAAAGGUUGGAGCCCUUUCCCAAUGCUCUCUUUUACUCUGCUUGCUGAUGUAGGUGCAGAAGCCUCAGUACUGCACACAGGAUAGAGGGAAGCAGUAAGUAACAGGGUCUUAUAUCAUCAUCUGGUAUGCUACCUCAUUCAAAGGGCUCUGUUUGAAACCUGGCACUAACAUGUACAGAACAUGUUGCAUUUUUGCCAGUACCUCUUCAAUCUGGUUUGUGAGACGUCCUGGAGGAGGUGACCUUGGACAGCAGGCAGAGCAGCAGAGCUGCAUAAUAAGAGCAUCUCUGCACCAGUGGCAGCCUGUUGGGUACAGGGCAGUUAAUAAAUAAUGAGGAUGUCAAAGAGAACA